This 492-nucleotide ribosomal RNA is filed under the name uncultured bacterium. RNAcentral's name for it is "partial 16S ribosomal RNA". It matches the Rfam family "Bacterial small subunit ribosomal RNA", at positions 29 to 507 of the family's 1533-position model. The record is from RNAcentral.
AGUGAACGCUGGCGGUAGGCCUAACACAUGCAAGUCGAACGGCAGCACAGUAAGAGCUUGCUCUUACGGGUGGCGAGUGGCGGACGGGUGAGGAAUACAUCGGAAUCUACUUUUUCGUGGGGGAUAACGUAGGGAAACUUACGCUAAUACCGCAUACGACCUACGGGUGAAAGCAGGGGAUCUUCGGACCUUGCGCGACUGAAUGAGCCGAUGUCGGAUUAGCUAGUUGGCGGGGUAAAGGCCCACCAAGGCGACGAUCCGUAGCUGGUCUGAGAGGAUGAUCAGCCACACUGGAACUGAGACACGGUCCAGACUCCUACGGGAGGCAGCAGUGGGGAAUAUUGGACAAUGGGCGCAAGCCUGAUCCAGCCAUACCGCGUGGGUGAAGAAGGCCUUCGGUUUGUAAAGCCCUUUUGUUGGGAAAGAAAAGCAGCAGGUUAAUACCACGCUGUUCUGACGGUACCCAAAGAAUAAGCACCGGCUAACUUCGUG